RNAcentral lists this long non-coding RNA (239 nucleotides) under Mytilus galloprovincialis (Mediterranean mussel). Lineage: Eukaryota; Metazoa; Mollusca; Bivalvia; Mytilida; Mytilidae. The record is from RNAcentral.
GUGGUUAGGACGGACCGUCGAUAGUUGACAUCGUUUAGUGGUAGGUCUGAAAUUAACAGAAACACACGUGGAUGUUUCCAUACAGUAAAUGAAACAAUCAUUCAUAUGGAGAACCCUUAGAUUUUGAGAAUCUUUUAUUAUAAAAUUAUACAGAAUUCUAUGAUCCGAAAUUUCGCUGAAUAUUUUUUGUCUCAUUUCACAACGUGUCAUCAUUAUAACAAUUCCGAAUAUAAAUAACG